This 67-nucleotide transfer RNA is filed under the name Marmota monax (woodchuck). RNAcentral's name for it is "tRNA.Undet". The record is from RNAcentral. Lineage: Eukaryota; Metazoa; Chordata; Mammalia; Rodentia; Sciuridae.
GGAUUGUGGCUCAGUGGUAGAGUGCUAGCCUAGCCGUGCGAGGCCCUGGGUUUGAUCCUCAGCACCA